GAAGGAAUAGCUCAGUGGUAGAGCACAUGCUUAGCAGGCAUGAUAGUCCUGGGUUCACUCCCCAGUUCUCCCU
RNAcentral lists this transfer RNA (73 nucleotides) under Camelus bactrianus (Bactrian camel). It matches the Rfam family "tRNA". From Rfam's summary of the family: Transfer RNA (tRNA) molecules are approximately 80 nucleotides in length. Their secondary structure includes four short double-helical elements and three loops (D, anti-codon, and T loops). Further hydrogen bonds mediate the characteristic L-shaped molecular structure. tRNAs have two regions of fundamental functional importance: the anti-codon, which is responsible for specific mRNA codon recognition, and the 3' end, to which the tRNAs corresponding amino acid is attached (by aminoacyl-tRNA synthetases). tRNAs cope with the degeneracy of the genetic code in two manners: having more than one tRNA (with a specific anti-codon) for a particular amino acid; and 'wobble' base-pairing, i.e. permitting non-standard base-pairing at the 3rd anti-codon position. Lineage: Eukaryota; Metazoa; Chordata; Mammalia; Artiodactyla; Camelidae. The record is from Rfam by way of RNAcentral. RNAcentral also lists the same sequence under 2 other names.